UUCUAGUUAAAAGUUACACCGAAACGCUGCGCGCAGAGCGUUUCACGCGACUCCAUCUUUUAGGCUGCGACGCGUGCGUGCGGUACAGUGGGCCCGCAGUGGGACGACAGCACGACGCGCCCGUCUCCUUGCGUGGGUGUGGGCCCGCAGUGGGGACGACAGCACGACGCGUCCGUCUCCUCUCAGCUCACGACGGAGCCACGACAGCCAGCGACAUCGCGUGACGGCGCGUGGGUUGCGCCCGCCCGGCGCUUCGCGUGGAGCUCGAUUGCGACACAGCCCCAGACCGCGAUGCAGAUCUCGGCUGCGACGCGGCUGCCAACGGCAGCGCGCCGGCGUCCGCGCGCGAGGACGGUCGUCGGCUGUCGGGCGUGCGUGGUGCCGUGAUCUGCGACGAACGGCGCGGGCGACCGGGUCUGUGAGACUGCGACGGAGUGACGCCGGCCAAGGACGUCGCGUGGGUUGCGGCCGGCGCUUCGCCGUUAGCCAGGUCAGUGCUCUCCUCUUCUGUGCCUCUUCUGUGGAUCUCGAAGUACGCAGCCGUGCUCCGCGGUGCCCGUGCCCAUAGGGUUAGGUGAGGGUUAGUCACCGGAUUCUAAAAUCCCACAAAUCCGCGCCCUGCCUUGCCUCGAUGCGUGCUCCGCAUCCGUCCCGUCGCCACUGCUUUUGCAACAGCGCCGGCUCGCUGUGCUUCUGUCCUUCGCCAUAGCGCCCAUGCCGCUGCUUUUCAUUUUACUACAUAUAUGGAGCACCUUCACUCGUCUCUUCCUCUUUCCCUCCGCCUGGUACUCGGCGCAAGUGCCUUUCUCCUCCUCGACUCCGUCGCCGUGAUCUGCUACGUAGCAGAAGGGCAGGCACGCGCAGAUCCUCUGGCUGUCCUGUCGGCCUCUUCUGCAGCUGUUCCAGUUCAGCAGCGUGCUUCCCCUAGAGGGAAACUCCGGACGACUACAACGAUCGCCCUAGGCACAAUCAUUUCCGACUAUUUCUUCCUUCGACUUGAACUGGUACCUGUUCGACAUCCUACUUCUCAAGGAAAUCUGCCAAUUUGAACACAAGUCUUUUCCAAUCUGAGAAGGCCGCUACUUUGUCAAGGUGACGCAUAAAUUUGUUUUAGCUCUAUUUUUCCCGACUUUCGUAUCUAUGCUUUUAACUUGCUAGGUGUGAUCUGUCCUUUAUUGUGUUUGUUGUACCUACAUAUGCAUCCUCUUUUCUCCCUAAAGCUUUCAUACAAUCUGUUGCGCUUCUUAAUUUGUGUUGGCCCCAUUUAUCGUUUUCCCCAAUACAAUCUUUUUCGCAUAUGAAUAUUUUAGUGCAGUAAACUCUAAACUUCCGUUGGCCAACUCAGGCUUCAUAAACUUCUAUCAGUCUGCUGAGGAUUUCAGUGCUUCAUUAAGGUACCUUUGAUUACGUCUUCCUUUAUGCCUUUCCAACAAUGUGUAAUGUUUUUAGUUUCUAAAGUUUCCUGUAUUAUCAUAUAUUUCUUCUUUCAAGUGUAAAUGACUUCUAAAGGGUUACAACUCCAGCUCUACGAUUUUCUGGAUCAUCUAAUGACUUACUUCACAAACCCCACCAAAUUUUUUGGAGCUAAAACUAUCCCAAACAGAACAUUGGAUUUGAUUAAUUGUUACACAUGACCUAUGCAUAUCAUCAAAACACCCAUGCUAAGUGAAUAUGUGGCUGCGCUUAAAGGUAUGUGAACCAACGGUAGUUUCAAAUUACAGACACUAUUUAUCUACUUUAAUAAUACUACUAAAAAUAUUGUUCAUACAAAUUUCUUUAUGUUAAACCAUGGACCGUAUGCUUAUGAUUUGCCAUCUAUGAUUUAAAUACGUUUUCCUUUAUACCAUCAAUGAAUUGGUGCCCUGCUAUGUAUCAACUAAUAUCAAAAAUAUUUAUUCUACCUCUAUUGUUGACUCAAGAAGCUCAGUUCCAGUUAAAGGAACAGUUCUUGCGCACCUUUCUUAUUUUGGUCUUCUACGGAGUAUAUUCGAGCUCUAUAAGCCGCAGCUCCACCUCUAUGGGUGGGGUUGCUGAAGGAUAAUGGUGCCUGAAGCAACCAUAGUCUCAGGUCAUAUCAGCAAGGAGCUUAGGAACAGCCAGUAGUUGCAGUUUACUUUAGCCUCCUGGAUCUUGACGCCUCCAUUUACUGAUCACCAAUGGGCGUUAUGCAUCCGUCAUUCCCUAAUUUACAUAACAAUGUGCGUCAUCUUCCAACUUGGCGAAUUGUCCGUUCAGCUAACAUCUGUAGCAUGCUUUUGGAUUGGGUUUCUGCUGGUUGUCUGUAGCAUAUGGUCCGUGGAGACUUAUCUUUUGGUACAUUUAAAAGGGACAUUAUCAUUCAAAAACACAACAAAGACCUUAAACGUAUUUGUUCCAUAUGUCCAGUUUAUAUGCCACUGCAAUAUCCAUUGCUAUUUACUUUUGGUGAGCGUGGAUUUCAAUUUGGUGUUCCAUAUGUUGAAAUGGAGGUUCUGGGAGUGAGAAGAUGAGGAUCAACUGCUGCAGCAUCUGGCGCAACAAGGCACUGAGGAGGAUGUGUUUCAGUGAAAGGGGUGCUGUGAGCAGCACCCAGUGUGUGCUCACAUCAGAUGCUGGCCCAGACACUCUUGUCGUCCGAACAUCCUUUCGGAGGAAUUAUGCUGAUCCUAACGAAGUCACUGCUGUCAUUUUGGGUGGUGGUACCGAGACUCAGCUUCUCCCUCUCACAUCGGCACAUCGCUAGGGUUCAGGCUCUUUUAGUGAAACUGGUGUGCUUUACCUCUGAAUCUUUGCUGGUGGCAUCUUUGUAGCUGGGGAAGACGACCGGGGAAGGAAAAGCCAGCAAGAGGGACACAAAGAGCACCACCAGCACAAGUUGACCCUCCCAACUAUUUCGAAUUAUACCAUUCACGAUGCCACUGACGGCACCGACAAUGGCAAACAGGAAGAUACAGAAUUUAAUCUCACUCCGGAUGUUGACUAGAGAAAUGGUCGAGACAGAUCUCAUCAAGCAGGUUAGUAAUUUCUUAGAUUAAUA
RNA transcript from Zea mays, 3016 nucleotides. RefSeq lists it as uncharacterized. Lineage: Eukaryota; Viridiplantae; Streptophyta; Magnoliopsida; Poales; Poaceae. The transcript has 6 exons. The record is from RefSeq and is a predicted model, not a curated record.